GGCCUGAUGGUCUAGGGGUAUGAUACUUGCUUUGGGCUUCUCUCAAUUUGCAAGUGGUCCCGGUUUCGAAUACCGGUCAGGCCC
Non-coding RNA from Xylariales sp. AK1849, 84 nucleotides. The record is from the annotation of a GenBank genome assembly. NCBI's taxonomy places the organism in Eukaryota, Fungi, Ascomycota, Sordariomycetes, Xylariales.